AACGAACGCUGGCGGCAUGCCUAACACAUGCAAGUCGAACGAGACCUUCGGGUCUAGUGGCGCACGGGUGCGUAACGCGUGGGAACCUGCCCUUAGGUUCGGAAGAACUCCCCGAAAGGGGUGCUAAUACCGGAUAAUGUCUUCGGACCAAAGAUUUGUCGCCUUUGGAUGGGCCCGCGUUGGAUUAGCUAGUUGGUAGGGUAAAAGCCUACCAAGGCGACGAGGCAUAGCUGGUCUGAGAGGAUGAUCAGCCACACUGGGACUGAGACACGGCCCAGAAUCCUACGGGAGGCAGCAGUGGGGAAUAUUGGACAAUGGGCGAAAGCAUGAUCCAGCAAUGCCGCGUGAGUGAUGAAGGCCUUAGGGUUGUAAAGCUCUUUUACCCGGGAUGAUAAUGACGGUACCGGGAGAAUAAGCACCGGCUAACUCCGUG
Molecule: ribosomal RNA, 433 nt
Filed under: uncultured bacterium
Lineage: Bacteria
Description: partial 16S ribosomal RNA
Rfam family: Bacterial small subunit ribosomal RNA
Source: RNAcentral